Molecule: ribosomal RNA, 232 nt
Filed under: uncultured Candidatus Saccharibacteria bacterium
Lineage: Bacteria; Candidatus Saccharimonadota
Description: partial 16S ribosomal RNA
Rfam family: Bacterial small subunit ribosomal RNA
Source: RNAcentral
UAAGUGUGUGAUGAAAUUUUGAGGCUCAACCUUAAACUGUUAUGCAAACUGUAAACUUGAGUAUAUGAGGGGUAGCUGGAAUUCAUAGUGUAGGAGUGAAAUCCGUAGAUAUUAGGAGGAACACCAAUGGCGAAGGCAGGCUUCUGGCCCAUUUCUGACGCUGAGGCACGAAAGCGUGGGGAGCGAACGGAUUAGAUACCCCGGUAGUCCACGCCGUAAACGAUGGAUACUA